CAUCGGUUCAAGUUUCUCCUCGCCGUACGUGAGAGCGCUUUCUUACAUGUAAAAUGGUCAGCUGAACUGAUGUACUUUUUCUUUUUUGUUUCAGUAUAUUGGGUCCUUAGAUGUACCAAGGCCAAUCACCAGGGUCGAAAUAGUAGCUGCAAUGAGAAGAAUCCGUUAUGAGUUCAAAUCAAAAGGCAUCAAAAAGAAAAAAGUAACCCUAGAAGUAUCGACGGAUGGUGUGAAAGUAACCUUACGAAAAAGAAAAAGAAAAAACAGUGGAUGGAUGAAAAUAAUAUAAUAUUAAUGCAACACCCAAUUUAUAGGUAAGUUCUGAAAAUACAUAAGCGUUUACAGUUUUUAAUUUCACUGGGAGAUCGUCCAAUAAACCGUGCGCGGCUUUCUUUUUAAUUUCGAUCUUGAAGAACAAGUCCAGAAGUCAGCGGCAGAUAUGUUGUAUUCCAGAGAUCGCAUCAAGUUUUUGCUGAUUUGUCGUGGUUUUUAACGACAAAAGAACCUCUGACGGCUCAAAACGUCCCAAAUUUCCGGUUUUUUUUUUUUUUUUUUUAGAAAGUUUUCUAGCCUUAUGUACUCAUGCCUUCAGUGUGUUAUCCUCAUGUCUUGUUUGGUUUUAUUUUUAUUUUAUUAAGUUUCAAGUUAAAUCAAAUUGAUAAUUUUCAAUAUUAUUAUUGAACUUAGUGAGUUCAAAUUUUCAUUAAUCCUUGAAUCACCCUGUAUCUGAAGAGGCACAAGAACAUUUGUUGAGCAAAUUAAUGGCUCGAGAUGAGAGUUGAACGCAGGAAAGUUAAUGAACCAUAUUAGAGGGAGUUUGUAAAACAAAUCGCGGCCUUGCUUUUUUCCAGUGGGAGCUGUUUUGAUCGAUGGUCUGCUAUUUUCAUUAAUCCAUUGACGUCAUCAAUUACAGAUUUAUCUCUUUGAAAGCUUCCGCUUAAAUGAAGCUUGAGAAUUAUUUUGCGGUCGAUCAAAUGUUUAAAGUCAGUUUCCUCUCGUAAUCGUUGUAAUUCAUCGUUUGAUCUUCUGAUAGUUCUGCAAUUCGUUCUUAAAUUGACGCUAAAGGCAGCAUAAUGAUUAAACGUUUACUUCAGUUACUUCCGGUUCUGAAAUAAUACAAGUGCAGGAUUACAACUGUCAAGAGAAACUUUGAAAAUGACAGGGAAUUUUUUAGUUCGGUGUGCAGUAUCAGGAAUCGGAUUGAAAUGUUGUCUGAUCAUGUGGUAACAUAGAUUUAGUUUUCGUAGAUGUUCGGAAAUGUUGGCGUUUGUGGUCAAGAAUGGUGAAACCAGAAAAGACAUUCUAGUGGCUUUCGACUUUGGGAAGCGAAAUUUUAUUUUGAUAGAGCUAGGUAAAGUCAUAGAAAUUUGGCGCGCAUAGUCAGGGAUUCUAGUUCUGGCAUUUGAUUUUUGUUAACGGGUAACCAGGAAAUGAUAGGGAAGUUUUAAAUUGGUAGUUGGGGAUUUGAUGGAGAUUAGAUCAAGAAAAUUCUGGACAAAUUUAUUGCAUCGGUGGAUGAGCAUAGUGAGUGGGCCAGUCCGUUGAGAAAAAUUGGACCGCGUCAAGCAGAAAGGAACCAAUCCACAUCAGUUACUGCCAACUUUAAUUCUGCACUGGAAGUUUUUACAUGAACACGGUCGUGAGGAUUUUCGUGCUUUCAGUGAAUUCUCUGCACAGUACGAAGCAAAUUCCUCGAAAAUUUCAAAGAAAUCCGCCCAAACGGUCUCUUAUAAAACAUUAAAUUGCCAAGUUAAUCUUAACAAUAGCUGAUCUAGCUUGGUUCCUUUCAGCUUCAGUGGCGUGGCGUGAAUUAUCGAUUAUCGAUAUCUCGCCAUUUAAAGCUAUGGUAAAGAAUCGAUUACUGAGGUGUUCGCUAAGGACACCCUGAUAAUCGAUCUUUUUUCAUAGAUUUAAGUGGCACAACAAUCGAUAUAUCGCAAAGCACGCCACGCCACUGUUCAGCUUGACGUGGUCCAAUUAUAUGUAUAACCGCACGGACUGUAAAUGGAUCUGGGUCUGCCCCUUCAGUCCCCCUGCAGACUUUUUUAGCAAUGCUAAUUUAACGAAAUUGAAGUUUCGAUGAACUUUGAUAGUAUCCUCAAUAAAUUAACAGUCAAUUUUCUCGGCGUUCGUGCUGGUAAAAAAGAAGGGAUUACAGUUGCAACAUGAAUGUAUAAUUGGAUGAAAUUCCUUUUUGCUGAGAAUAUCUCACGGAAUUUCAUCGUGUUUUUUAUGGGCUGAUUAUGUAACUCACAACCAUAAAGUACAAAAGAGUUGCAGUGUACUGUAGCGCCGAUAAAGUCAAUCCCAGAACGAUGCAUUUGUAGCCUCUUGUUCGCCCGAAGUGGGAACCAUAGGGCAUUUUUCAACACGGCGCUUUGAGGAAGAAUUGCGGACCGUGAGUGGUUUUUGGGAUUUAUUGAUUUAUAUCAGUGACUAUUUUAGCGAAUCUUGACAAGUUAUGUCGACCGAAGGCAUGAAAAAUUAAAAAUGCACGAAACUUCCAGUUUUUUUUCUAAAAUACAUUUCAUACGUGUAUCUUCAGUGCGGAGCCCGUAGCUGGGGCCCUGCGCAUACCUGGGCGGACGGCCAGCGCGUUGGCGCCUACAAACCUAAAGG
Molecule: long non-coding RNA, 2619 nt
Filed under: Bemisia tabaci
Lineage: Eukaryota; Metazoa; Arthropoda; Insecta; Hemiptera; Aleyrodidae
Description: lncRNA ENSSSA3NGG001120
Source: RNAcentral